RNAcentral lists this ribosomal RNA (467 nucleotides) under uncultured bacterium. RNAcentral's name for it is "partial 16S ribosomal RNA". It matches the Rfam family "Bacterial small subunit ribosomal RNA", at positions 28 to 507 of the family's 1533-position model. The record is from RNAcentral.
GAUGAACGCUGGCGGCGUGCUUAACACAUGCAAGUCGAACGGAAAGGCUCCUGCUUGCAGGGGUACUCGAGUGGCGAACGGGUGAGUAACACGUGGGUGAUCUGCCCCGCACUUCGGGAUAAGCCUGGGAAACUGGGUCUAAUACCUGAUAGGACAGUGGUUUGGAUGCCAUUGUGGAAAGUUUUUUCGGUGUGGGAUGAGCUCGCGGCCUAUCAGCUUGUUGGUGGGGUAAUGGCCUACCAAGGCGUCGACGGGUAGCCGGCCUGAGAGGGUGUACGGCCACAUUGGGACUGAGAUACGGCCCAGACUCCUACGGGAGGCAGCAGUGGGGAAUAUUGCACAAUGGGCGCAAGCCUGAUGCAGCGACGCCGCGUGGGGGAUGACGGCCUUCGGGUUGUAAACUCCUUUCGCUAGGGACGAAGCGUUAUGUGACGGUACCUAGAGAAGAAGCACCGGCUAACUACGUG